AGAGGGAGAAGGGCAAGGGCGCAGGGCGGGUCACAUGGAGCGGAAGCUUCCAGAUACCGCUCCAAGCCAGCACAGCAAGCUUCUGUCCCUGCGCCCUGCCCCAGCUCACCUGGCUGGGGCGUCACAGCCUGACCGGCACGUGGGUGUCCAGUCAGCGGCAGGGCAGGUGCUGCGCCCCAAGGUGGGCUUCUGUGACAGGCGGGGGCCGUGCACAGGGCCGUGUGCUUUGUGCUGUGGGUCCUGGAUUUUAAUGCUUCCCGCCACCCCAUGCCCACAUGAAAAUGCCAUAGCAAGUGUGAGACGGUACGUGGGUCCGCAAAGCCAAAUGGGCAGCGUGUCUUGGGGGCUGUAGUGCGGCACGUGGAGUGGUGGACCCUGGCAGGCCGUCCACGUCCCGAUCUCCGGCCCCUGUGACGCAGACCGUGUUUGGAAAUAGAGUCUUUGCGGAUGUGUAAUUCAUUAAGAGGAGUUCGUACUUGGCCCCUGAUCCAGCAUGACGAGUGUCUUUGUAAAAAGGGGAAAUUUAGACACAGACAAGCAUCGAGGGAAGAUGGUGUGAGAGACACAGGCUGAAGACGGCUGUCGAGAGGCCAAGAACAGAGGUCUGGACCAGAUCCUCAGUCUCAGCCUCGAAGGAACCAGUCCUACUUGAUCAACAGCGUCCAGCCUCCAGAACUGGGAGAGAGCACAGCACUGAGUUCCUUUCCCUGCAUCAUAUGCAGGAGUUUCCAGCAUCUCAACCCUGUUUAAACACGGGGCCACUGCGUCCAGCCUCCAGACCCUCAACUGCCCAGGCAGACUCAGGUGACCCAGAUCGCCGAGUGCCCCUUGGGAUUGGUCUGCUCUCUCAGAAUCCAUCCUGAACACAUUCUACAGUUCUACUGACAGACACUCAGCUUCCUGCAGUUCUCCUGGUGGCCAAGCCUUCACAUCCGGGUGUGACUGGGUGUUGGGACCUCACUGUCCCAGGUCUCAGUGGAUGGGGCUGGGCCAGGAGGUUUGGGGGCAAACUGACUUUUCUCCUACAAAGUAACCUCUCCAAGGAUGUCAUGACUGGGUCUUCAAGUAUGGGGACAACACUGUCUAAUGAGGGGAAAAGGGCUGUGGAGGGUGACGGGGCUCCUGGAGAAUAGGGCUUGGUGUCACCUGGGCUGCCCCACCCCCCACCCACCUUCUCUGGGCCCCAGCCGGAGGCCACAGGUUCACCUUCCGUGUCUCUUUCGGAACAAUCCAAAUCUGCCGUGUGUGACUCCGGACUCAGUUUAAUGGCUAUGAGAGAGGAGACGGGCCGCCACAGGCAGGUUCCUGCCUCCCCGAGAUGAGCAGUCAGGGGCUUGAGCUCAUCUCUGUCCUCCAGGUGGUCUGGCUUCCUUCAAAGGCCCCA
Molecule: long non-coding RNA, 1384 nt
Organism: Bos taurus (domestic cattle)
Lineage: Eukaryota; Metazoa; Chordata; Mammalia; Artiodactyla; Bovidae
Source: Ensembl